GAUGAACGCUGGCGGCGUGCCUAAUACAUGCAAGUCGAGCGAACAGACGAGGAGCUUGCUCCUCUGACGUUAGCGGCGGAAGGGUGAGUAACACGUGGAUAACCUACCUAUAAGACUGGGAUAACUUCGGGAAACCGGAGCUAAUACCGGAUAAUAUAUUGAACCGCAUGGUUCAAUAGUGAAAGACGGUUUUGCUGUCACUUCUAGAUGGAUCCGCGCCGCAUUAGCUAGUUGGUAAGGUAACGGCUUACCAAGGCGACGAUGCGUAGCCGACCUGAGAGGGUGAUCGGCCACACUGGAACUGAGACACGGUCCAGACUCCUACGGGAGGCAGCAGUAGGGAAUCUUCCGCAAUGGGCGAAAGCCUGACGGAGCAACGCCGCGUGAGUGAUGAAGGUCUUCGGAUCGUAAAACUCUGUUAUUAGGGAAGAACAAAUGUGUAAGUAACUAUGCACGUCUUGACGGUACCUAAUCAGAAAGCCACGGCUAACUACGUG
RNAcentral lists this ribosomal RNA (497 nucleotides) under uncultured bacterium. RNAcentral describes it as "partial 16S ribosomal RNA". It matches the Rfam family "Bacterial small subunit ribosomal RNA", at positions 28 to 507 of the family's 1533-position model. The record is from RNAcentral.